UAACAACGAGACCUUAACCUGCUAAUAGCCAGGCCGGCUUUCGCUGGUCGCCGGCUUCUUAGUAGGGACUGUCAGCGUCUAGCUGACGGAAGGUUUGAGGCAAUAACAGGUCUGUGAUGCCCUUAGAUGUUCUGGGCCGCACGCGCGCUACACUGACAGAGCCAGCGAGUUUUCCACCUUGGCCGGAAGGUCUGGGUAAUCUUGUGAAACUCUGUCGUGCUGGGGAUAGAGCAUUGCAAUC
RNAcentral lists this ribosomal RNA (241 nucleotides) under uncultured fungus. RNAcentral's name for it is "partial small subunit ribosomal RNA". It matches the Rfam family "Eukaryotic small subunit ribosomal RNA", at positions 1329 to 1591 of the family's 1831-position model. The record is from RNAcentral. Lineage: Eukaryota; Fungi.